RNAcentral lists this ribosomal RNA (441 nucleotides) under uncultured bacterium. RNAcentral describes it as "partial 16S ribosomal RNA". It matches the Rfam family "Bacterial small subunit ribosomal RNA", at positions 339 to 795 of the family's 1533-position model. The record is from RNAcentral.
CUACGGGGCGGCUCCAGCAGGGAAUAUUGCACAAUGGACGGAAGUCUGAUGCAGCGACGCCGCGUGGAUGAUGAAGGCCCUCGGGUUGUAAAAUCCUUUUCAGGGGGACGAGGAAGGACGGUACCCUUGGAAUAAGCGUCGGCUAACUACGUGCCAGCAGCCGCGGUAAGACGUAGGACGCAAGCGUUAUCCGGAUUUACUGGGCGUAAAGCGUCUGUAGGCGGAAUGGUAAGUUGGACGUGAAAGCUCCGGGCUCAACCCGGAGAGGUCGUUCAAUACUGCCAAACUAGAGGGCAUCAGAGGAGCGUGGAAUUUCCGGUGUAGCGGUAAAAUGCGCAGAUAUCGGAAGGAACACCAAUGGCGAAGGCAGCGCUCUGGGAUGAACCUGACGCUAAGAGACGAAAGCUAGGGGAGCGAACAGGAUUAGAUACCCGCGUAGUC